RNAcentral lists this ribosomal RNA (253 nucleotides) under uncultured bacterium. RNAcentral's name for it is "partial 16S ribosomal RNA". It matches the Rfam family "Bacterial small subunit ribosomal RNA", at positions 524 to 776 of the family's 1533-position model. The record is from RNAcentral.
UACGGAGGGUGCAAGCGUUAUCCGGAUUCACGGGGUUUAAAGGGUGCGUAGGUGGAUUGGUAAGUCAGUGGUGAAAUCUCCGGGCUUAACCCGGAAACUGCCAUUGAUACUAUCAGUCUUGAAUACCGUGGAGGUCAGUAGAAUAUGUCAUGUAGCGGUGAAAUGCUUAGAUAUGACAUAGAAUACCAAUUGCGAAGGCAGCUGGCUACACUAAUAUUGACACUCAGGCACGAAAGCGUGGGGAUCAAACAGG